Long non-coding RNA from Vidua chalybeata, 2308 nucleotides. RefSeq lists it as uncharacterized. The record is from RefSeq and is a predicted model, not a curated record. The transcript has 4 exons. Lineage: Eukaryota; Metazoa; Chordata; Aves; Passeriformes; Viduidae.
UUUUCCUCAGAAAAUGUAAAGAGCCCCAGCUGCCCCCAAGGCUGUGCAGUUCUGCUGCAGCCUGUCCCCACAGCUGUGUCCCUGCCAGUGCCCACAGCUGUGUCCCUGGCUGUCCCCACAGCUGUGUCCCUGCCUGUGCCCAGGCUCUUGGCUCUCUGACUGCCAGCUGAGUGAGGGGCACACUGGCUGCGGGGUCCCUCCUGUGCUCCCUGGGCAUGGGGUGAGCAGAUUCCAGUGCCGGGUCUGGUUCUCGCAGCCAGCAGCUCUUUCCUGUUCCAGGUAAAUGGUUCAGCUCCCAUCCCGUGCUCGUGGUGCUGCUGAUUCUGCUGCUCCUGGUGCUGGUGCUGGCUUUGGGGGUGGCCUUGGCUGUGCAGUCAGCACAGCUUCCACUUACACCUGCGACUCCGCAGUGCUGUCCCCAUGGCUGGGUUAGCUACAAUGGAGUCUGCUACUACUUGUCAAGGGAUUACGGCACCUGGGAGCAGGGUCAGGAAUGGUGCUCCGAGCUCGGGGCCUCCCUGGCCAUUCUCAAGGAUGAGGAAAUGGAUUUGCUCUUCCACCUCCGCGGGAACGUCGAUUACUGGCUCGGGCUGCGCAGACGGGGCGAGCGCCUGCACUGGGGGGACGGCAGCAGCUACAGCUCCUGGGUUCCUGUCCUGGGCAAUUCCGAGUGUGUGUACCUGGCUGACCAUAAAUUCAGGAGUGAGAUGUGCUCAAAUGAGCGGCCGUAUGUCUGCAGCAAGGCCCAAGCUCCCCUGUAACAGGGGCUGGAGAAAGGACCUUGUCCACACUGGGCAGUGCCAGCGUCGUCUGUAAGCCCGGCACAGGGCUGUCCUUCCUCAGGUGUACCUGUGUUUAUACCGAAAUGCGAAAGCCAUUAACAGUAUAAGUUAUUUAUAACAUUAUGUAUCGAGCUCCUUUGGGUAAUCUGAAUCUGCCUGCGCUCUUGGUGUUCAUUACAAGCUAGCAGUCACAUGAGAGUUCUGGACUGCCUUUGGCAGAGGAAGAAGAGCAGCAGACACGUGCUGAGCAGGGAUCCCACUUUUGGCGUCCGGCUUUGAAGAAGCCAGACUGUGAAGAAGGAUCUGUCAGCUGCUGGCUCUCUCUCUCUGCUUUGGAGGAGGAUGGUCAGAGCUGCUGCUUGGGGAAGGAAUUUGCUGCCACGGCCAUAACCGAGCUGAGAGCUGCUUCCUCUGCUGUGGAAUGAGCCGCUGUGCCCGGAACUGCACGUGAGGGGAAAGUGCCCGUGGCUGAGCGGGGCCGGGGCUGGGUUUGUGUCUGCUCGGGGCAGGGCUGCGCUGCAGGGGUUUGUGUGCCUGGGACAGAGCAGUAAAGAGCUGCUGUUCUAUUCUCAUAGCUGUGUCUGAGAGACCCUUCACUUCUAAAUUAUAAUAAUUCUGAGCAUGGGGGUUUACAUUUUCCACUGCAAGGGAGGCUCCUGCCUUAGGAGACCCCUGCCUUUCAAAGCAAAACACCCCCAUCCCUCUGUGCUACUGUGUGGGGAAAAGGGAGGGAGGGAAUCAGGGAUAAAGAGAAGCCCAGGAAGGAGAGUUCAGAAGGUGCAUUUUUAGGAUUUUGGGUACUUCUCAUUCCCUUGCUCAGAUUUGUUUGAUAAUAAAUUCAAUUAAUUUCCCCAGUCCAGGCCUCAUUCCCCAGUUACGCCCAUGAUGGGUGAGAGAUCUCUCGCUGCCUUUACUGAGACCCUCGAGCCUUUCCUGCUGUGUUCUGUGGCCUGCCCAGGGGCAGGAGGAGAGGCACAGAGCGCUUUUGCUGGCCCUGGGCACCUGACCUGCCCCAGCCCAGCCCAAGAAUCCCUGCCAGAAUUCACUGCACCAUUUCCCGGCCCCACGGUGGCUCUGGCUCCACGGGCAGGCGGCUCCAGGAGUUCAGAGGGGGCAAAAUGGGACCGAGGGAGAGGAGGCAGCUGGAGCCAGUGGGGGAAAUGUCUUUGCUGUGAGCUGGCAGGGAGAGGAGGAGGGAGAAAGUGGUGCAAAGUAAAGGCGAGAGAAAGAGGGACAAGGCUGGAGCGGUGGAAGGCAGCGGGGAUGGCCAUGGGGCAGGCGGGCACUUUGCUUUCCAGCUCUGUGGGAGGAAACCGAGAGCUGUCAAAUCCAUGCAGGAAAAGAGGGGAGCAAUAGCAGGUGGUGGAAAUGGCUGGCAAUUGGGAUUCAUUUUAUCUGCCUGAACUGCAAAGGCUGACAGACCCCGAGCACCGCCAGUGUUGUGAUGUGUCCUGCCCUGCCCCUGGCCUGGCUGCAGCCGCCUGCUGAGACGGGCCCUUGUCUCUAAAGGAGCUGCACCGAGGGAU